This 695-nucleotide ribosomal RNA is filed under the name uncultured bacterium. RNAcentral describes it as "bacterial SSU rRNA". It matches the Rfam family "Bacterial small subunit ribosomal RNA", at positions 111 to 823 of the family's 1533-position model. The record is from RNAcentral.
UAACGCGUGGGUAACCUGCCCCAUACCGGGGGAUACCACCUGGAAACAGGUGCUAAUACCGCAUAAGCGCACGGGAGCGCAUGCUCCUGUGUGAAAAACUCCGGUGGUAUGGGAUGGACCCGCGUCUGAUUAGCCAGUUGGCAGGGUAACGGCCUACCAAAGCGACGAUCAGUAGCCGGCCUGAGAGGGUGGACGGCCACAUUGGGACUGAGACACGGCCCAAACUCCUACGGGAGGCAGCAGUGGGGAAUAUUGCACAAUGGGGGAAACCCUGAUGCAGCGACGCCGCGUGAGUGAAGAAGUAUUUCGGUAUGUAAAGCUCUNUCAGNAGGAACGAGACAAGACGGUACCUGACUAAGAAGCCCCGGCUAACUACGUGCCAGCAGCCGCGGUAAUACGUAGGGGGCAAGCGUUAUCCGGAAUCACUGGGUGUAAAGGGAGCGUAGACGGCUGAGCAAGCCUGAAGUGAAAGGCGGGGGCCCAACCCCCGGACUGCUUUGGGAACUGUACGGCUGGAGUGCAGGAGAGGUAAGUGGAAUUCCUAGUGUAGCGGUGAAAUGCGUAGAUAUUAGGAGGAACACCAGUGGCGAAGGCGGCUUACUGGACUGUAACUGACGUUGAGGCUCGAAAGCGUGGGGAGCAAACAGGAUUAGAUACCCUGGUAGUCCACGCCGUAAACGAUGAUUACUAGGUGU